AAUGUGGGCUUUAUACUCUCAAAUUCAAAUCUAGCCACAAUCUGCUGGCUCUGCGGUCUUGUGCAAAUCGCUAAGCCUUAUUUUGUCCUCUUUAAACCCCUUUAACAGGGAAGUAAUGAGUAAAUGAGCAUACAGAUUCCAUAAAGGGGUUUAGAAGUAAGUAAGAUAAUGUGGAAGGAGCGUUUCCCCCACAAUAAGGUACCUACUUAUUCUUGCCAGGCUGCUUUACUCCUAAUGCUCCCUUUCCCUGACGAGCUCUCACUCCUCCUCUCCUUCCUCUUCCUAAACAAGUCUACUCUCCCUCAGUCUCACAUUAAAUUUUAUUUCCUCAAUGACUGUCCUCACACACUCCAGACUCAGUUAAGUCCUAUUGGUUUUCCUGCUCACAGCACCUCCAUCAUUUGCAAAUUGAAGUUACCUCUUAGAGCAAGUUUUUUGGUUUUGGUUUUUGUUUUUAAUUUUUUUGCCAUACCUGCGGCAUUCAGACGUUCCCAGGCCAGCAAACUGCACCCACUCCACAACAGUGACCUGAGCCACUGCAGUGGCAAUGCCGGAUCCUUAACCUGCUACACACAAGGGAACUCCCCAGCAAGUACUUGUUAAGUGGAUUUCUUUCCUUGUAAAUUAUAUGCUCCAAAAAGGCAAAGCCUCUGUCUGCUUUAACAUAGUGGUAUACACGGUGAAUUAAAUAGAGUGUGCUUAGUAAACAUGAGAUAAAAGAGUGAUUUAAUUCAUUAAUUAAUAGCACAGUGUAUAGAACAAAAUAAAAAGGAAAUAUUAGUAAUUUCGAAUUAUUAAGUAAUGUAGGUAUUUUGUGAGGUCUCAGGUGAGUCAUCUACUUUUAGGAGUAUGACUUCAAAGUGUCACACCAUUUCCAUUCCUAUUCCACACCAGCUUCACUGGUGGCCCAUAUAGCACAAAUAUCAGCCUUUCUCUUGAGCUACCUACACAAUGGAGCCAGUGCCUGGUUGAGACAUAGGACCAGUGGUUCCAGAGUAAAAGUCAUUCCCCUGAGCAUUGUAUCGGCUCAUUUUAUGCUGGAGUUGAGACUCGCAGUUCAAUCUGAUACACACAGUUUGGUCUGGGCCAAGAUACACAACCCAGAGCUAUUUAAAGGAGAGCCCCAAGCUCAUAUUCCUGUUCCAGUUACUCAGACUUCUGACUUGGGUCAAUUAAACCUGUAACAGAGGCUCAGUAGAACUCGGCAAAUGCAAGAUAAAAUAGCCUACAUUAAAGUAUAAGCUCAUCAGCAGGCAGCCACACAGCUCAAAGAGCAAGCUCACCGGGUUGGCAAGACAAAGAAAGAGAAGCAAGACACUGAGAGGUGGUGGCCAUGGUCUAGACACUCACCUUGCUCUCUUCUCCAACUGUUUUGGAGACUCCACAGAAACAUAAUAGAUCUUCCCAUGCCCAAAUUCGGUUUGGCUGUUGACACUGAUAAUGUCACAGACACACCAAGAGAGUAUGAAAAGUUUUAUUACUCUUAUGACAAGGAUUUCUAGAGAGAGCAAGGUGGUUCUCAAGAAGGUCCUAAAAUGGCUUGAGAGAAUAGGGAAGGAGAUUGGCUUGGGAGUUUUUUGAUGUUUAGGUGGUAGGGCCCAGCAAAUUUUUCCUGUGGGUGGUGUGAACUUCUUGUCGGCAUCAAAGGAGGGUCCACACAGACUUUCUCAUCAGCUUGACCAGAUGUGGGCAGAAGUGGUACAGCAAAGCGUGAAGUUUAAAAGCGCUCAGCAGUGAAGCAUAAAAAAAAUGAAGUCUUUUUUAUAGUUAGCCUCUGUAUCAGGAACAUUUUGUCUUUUAUACAAUAUGUCUAGUUUAUAAGGAUGGAAAUAUUCAUGCCUAUGUGUUGAUACAGCUAGGUAACAAUGGCACCAAUGUAAGGCACGUGUGAUCAGCAGCUGAUGGCAUUCGGUCUCAUCAGAGAAGGGGCCCUUACUGUGAACAUCUACAUCUACAAUCCAGACUAUCAAAUGAACAGCCACAAUUGCCUUCUACAUUUUGCAGCCGUAAAGAGGAUUGAUCAUCUUUAAUUUGCCAUUUUGUAGUCUUCCAAGUAGUAGAACAGAUGGCUAGGCCAUUGGCAACAGCUUAAGAGUUAGUAAAAAAUAUGUCUCUUAUAUCUGUGCAUGCUAUGUAUAUAAAAAUAUAAUCCAUUGGAAUACUGUCUAAGGCAAGGGUCACAGCGUCUAGUUCAACCCACUGUGUUGACCAGCCUUGACCAGGCUUUGGUCUUCAGAGUUGUCACUGGGGCAAGAUUGCUGCUCUUAUCCAAUGAACACUAUCAGCUUUACUGUUGAACAAUAUCAGUGGACAGUGCCCACACUUUUAGGAGAAAUUCUGUGAUUUAAGGUCCCUAUUGAGUCAGUGGCAUUUCUUUAGACAAUCAAGUGGGGGUAAAAUUUCCCUAAAGUUGCAGCAACACUUUUUCAUGCAAAGCUGAGCUGUCCUAUGGUCAUGCCAAUGGCACACGUUGUACCUGUUUAAUCAAGAAAGCCUAGCGAAUAUUUUCCAUUUUGUUAGUCAUUGAAUUCAAGCUGAUGCACCACCAAAUAAUGAUGUUAGUCUAGAGGUACAAGCCUCCAUGAAUCAUGGGUACAGUUUCUACAAAAGCUUAGUAGCACGUUAAAAUGUACCUUUUUUUAUAAAAGAGAGAUGUAAUUGGUACCUGCAUCUGGCAGGCACUAUUCUUCUGGGAAAUAAUUUGAGUACUCUGGCAACCAUUAGGUCUUUAACUAAAACUGUGAUAUUUAUCUUUCUUGUAGUUCAUUUUGUUUCUAUUUGACUACCUAGGAGGGGAGAGGGAGGAGGGUUAAGAGGGAGGGUAGAAGUGAUUGAUCUGUCUCUACCAUUUUUCCCCUGUGGCAAUCUUUGAAAGCAGAAUUUUCUGUAAAUUCUAUUGGACAGAGAUAGAAGCAUUUAACCCAUUAAUCCAGUGGUGUGUUUGGAUGUCAAAGCCACUGUGAUAGUAAAUUGCAUCAGCUGAAAAGGCUCAUUCACAAGGUUAUUUUAAUAUCUCUGCCCCACAGUGACUUUUUCCCACCUAGCAAUGUGGAUUGCAGGACAGAAGAGCACUGAGAUGUGGGGAUCUAGUUUUUGUAUAGCAGGCAGGAAGCAAGCCUUCUCCUUGUCCCAGUGAGAGAUACACCUUAUCCCUUAUGUUCUCUGAAAAGACAACCCUAAAAAUGACUCGGGGCUCUGUAUUUUUGGCACAAUAAGUGACAAAACAAAAGUGAAUGACCCAUGGAAGACCAUCUCCCCACAUGAUAGAAAAAAAAUAAUUGAUCCAAGUAGAAGCUGCUUCUCAUCAUGAUGGUGAUUUUGAACUACAGGUCCACCAGCCACAUUUUCACUAGCCUCCAAUUUUUCUGUCUCCACUGCCUGAUGCAUACACUAUUUUACUCAAGUUUUCAUUAGAGGAUAAAUAUCACCUUGUUUAUGGGAUAAUAUUAGAGACUGCUAUGUUUGAUUUUAGCAGACUCAUACAGAGGAAAUGCAUACCUACUUGAUACAGAGAGGAAUAGAAUACAUUAAAUAUUAAAAUUUGAGUAGACUCCCUUAGGAACAGUGGCUAAACUAAGAAAGCAGGCACAUGAUUUUGAGCAGACAUAUUUCUCCAGGCUUUUAUAAUAUAGCCAUAUCUUUUUAAAAAGAUGAAGCUGGCAUUAAUCUCAGUUAUGUCUGAUACCAAAUCUCUUUCCAUCCCAUCCAUGUUCCUUCCCAAAGAAGGGAAACCAAGCGAUAUAGUCAGGACCCACAAGUAAAAGUGUAAUAAGCCUCAAUCUCUUCUUCAAACAAAGACUAUCUAUAUUCAGUUCAAUUUAAGCCAAAUUGGAAAUGAAAAUAGCCACUUUAAAAUUUAGCAGAUUAAAAUAUCAUUAUGGAUUCUCUAUCCUACAUUGUAGCUAUGCCAAUACUUCAAAUAGAAAACUAACAAAAUCAGAAAAUGUUUUCUCGAACACAGCUGACUAUCUGUUUGAGAUAUUUCAGAUGCUUUGCUGGAAGUAGUAAGCUGUUAUUGUAUGCAUUCCAAAAACAUACACCAAGAAUACUAUUAGAUAAUAGCAAAAAUGUCUGUUAUAAAUAUAUGAUUAUGUACCAUAAUAUAAAAAUUACCUAAUAGUAAUGUAUAAUUGUAACAUACAAUAGAUAUAAUAUGUAAUUACAAUUAUAAAUAUAACAAAUAUAUAUUAUAAUGUAUAAACAAAUGUAUUUAUAUAUAUUCUCUUUAUAUAUAAAUAUGUGAACUAUUUAUAAGCAAUUUGAUACACAAUAUAUAACAAAACUACUUGUGUAAACAAUAAGUAUUUUAAUAUACUAUGAAGUAUAAUAAUAUGCAAACUAUUAAAAUAUAUAAAAUGACAUUUUGAUAUAGAAACCAUUUAAUCUGCAAGUGAUUGAAAUACUCAUUUUUUUUUCCUGCCUCUAGUAACAUGGUCAAAUCUACAAAUCAUUUUUUUCUGCUCAAAAUAUUGAAGAGGAGAAUUCCAAAUGUUUCAUUUAGAAUAUAAAAAUUACUGAUAUUUUGAAUUAAAAAUAAGCAUGCUAUUAAAAAAUUUAAGUGAAUAGAAAAGUUGAAAACUAAAAAAUAUUAAAUUGUAUAUAUUUAUUCACAAAAGGAGACCUCAGAUUGUUUCCUAAAAUGUGUUUUCUUUUACUCUAACAGUUUAAAGUACAGGUAUUUGAUCUCUAAGGGGAAAAAUGUCAAUGUUGAAAACUGAAGUGGGAAAAUAGUUUACUGCUGACAGACAUGCAGCAGAAGAAAGCUACAAAUGACAACUUAGCCAUGAUAAGGAAAUAGAAGAAAACAGGUAGUAAGGUAGAAGACAAACCAAAAGGACUAGAAAUGUCCAUGCCAUCUUUUAUAUGGUAGUAUCAUUCUUUAGAAUGAAGAGACUAGCCUGAAGAAAUGAUGGAGAAAGAGUAUACCUUUGACAGGUUUACCAAAGCCGUGUCAAAGAUCAGGGGAUGACAACCCUCCCUUUUGGGUCACUAUUUUAAGUACAGUGUUAUAUAGUAUGAUACUAUGAAGUGAAGCCAUCUGCCAAAUUAUAUACAUUAUGCAAAUACUCCAUUCAAGAAGUUAGGUAGUAUGGUGCACAUUUUAAAAAUAGUUCUUUUGAAAGUGCUUACAAUUAAAAAGCAUAUGAAAUAUCUGGGUCUUUUUUUUUUUUUUUUUUUGGUCUUCUUUUUUUACUAGGGCUGAACCCAUGGCAUAUGGAGGUUCCCAGGCUAGGGGUCUAAUCGGAGCUGUAGCUGCCGGCCUACGCCACAGCCACAGCAAUGCGAGAUCCAAGCCGCAUCUGCGACCUCUGCCACAGCUCACGGCAACGCCGGAUCCUUAACCCACUGAGCAAGGCCAGGGAUGGAACCUGCAUCCUCAUGGUUCCUAGUCGGAUUCGUUAACCACUGAGCCACGACGGGAACUCCAAAAAAACAAAUUAAUUAUCUAAAGUAAAAGAUCAUUAGCUAUCUAGAAAUAAAAUGAUAAACCAGAGGAUAUUUACAACUGAUGCUUUGCUUUAUCCUAACACCGUUGUUCCAGUUUUCAAGUGGAAAUUUUACAAAGAAUUUUGCAUAAACCUAAUUUUAGGCAGAAUGGAAGGAAAUUUGGAGUUAAUUCCUGCUCAUGCCAGUCCUUGUAAUAGAGGAUUUGACUAACGGCUUAGAUCCUCGAACGUCAGCAAAUUCUAAAUCGCUCCAUGCUUAGCUCCUCUUGCCUAUUUGGUGCCACAUUAACACAUUGGACCUUUUUUAUUUUUUCUUUUAUGGGAAGAAAAAAGCAUCAAGUAUUACAAAAUAUACCUCCUUCCUCUGUCUGUAUUGUUAUACUGUUUAAACUACAGAAACAUCUAUUGCAGCUGAAUAAAAAUCAAUCUUUUGCCUGUUCUCAGCUGUAUUUCCAAAUCUCAUGGUCUGGCUUAUAGGAGGUACUACAAUAAGCGUUUGUUGAAUUGUCUGUCUCGUCUAGGUGUCCUCCUAGUCACUGUAACCGUCCUUAUCCUAAAUUACCAUCAGUGUUUUGUGAGUUUCAGUCUCAACUGUUUGGCCACUGUCUCUCCAUUACUUAAGCAGGUUUUACCGGUUGUCCUUAGGAAUGUGGUAUGGCUAGUGUUCUAUUGAACUUUAAUUACUUAUCUCACAGUAGAAAAUUUGGAUGAGUUUUAUCAAAACUAUCUCACUAUCAUCACCAUAAUGUCAGUACUUUCUAAAUACUCACUCAAUACAAUAUUAGCAUUCUAAGACCUUUAUCUUAUUUUCACAGGCAUAAGUAUUCUCAAAAUAAGCAUGUAUUUUACUAAUUAUUCAGUUUAUCUUAGAACAAUCAAAAAUAAUUUUCUAAGUAAAAGAGUGAGUAAAAUUUGGUACUUUUAACAUACAAAAGCAAUUGCAUUACAUAAUAAAGAAUGUUCUAAAGCAUAAAAUAAUAGAUAGAAUGUGAUAAGACUACAGAAAAUCUAAACUAAACAAUGCAGGCAGGGUCAGGUUCAAGUUCAUAUGACGGGCAGCACUGUGCUCAGAAGGGCUCUUCUGUCUCCAUAUUAAAAUUCCCAUUGAUUUUGAAUAUUUUAAUUUUGCUGUGGGCCCUGCAAAUUAUGUAGCAGGCUCUGAAUAUGGAAGAAAACAGUGUGCUCCUUUCCUAUAGAUCAGUAAACAAAAUCUAAAUCAUAUAUACACCUACCACAUGUGCCAUAGUGUGUAUCCAAUUUUUAUCACAAUUCUCAUUUCAGAGAUCUGAAUUUUUACUUGAACUUGGAAGACAGAGAUGCUCUAA
Molecule: long non-coding RNA, 6772 nt
Filed under: Sus scrofa (pig)
Lineage: Eukaryota; Metazoa; Chordata; Mammalia; Artiodactyla; Suidae
Description: lncRNA (ENSSSCG00000062958.1)
Source: RNAcentral